RNAcentral lists this long non-coding RNA (1343 nucleotides) under Mus musculus (house mouse). RNAcentral describes it as "long non-coding RNA chr4:83525582-83526925". Lineage: Eukaryota; Metazoa; Chordata; Mammalia; Rodentia; Muridae. The record is from RNAcentral.
GUUCCGGGCCCCCGGAAGUGGCCGUUGUAAACUUCACCUCGUAGACUUUCUCCAUCCUGGCCCUAGAGUCCAUCGGCUUUCCCCAGUUGUCACUCUUUCUCCUGAGAGUUGCCUGACCUCCCACUCACCCCGAGACCUGAAGCUGCCUGGGGGUCGUGGGUGUGCAGGCUGGACCACGCGAGUCCGAGGUAACUGCGGGCUGUGGGUGCAAUGGUGACUGGCGCCCGGGACCGGGAGGUGCUGAGAGGAGACUGGGCUUGCAGAGAGGACCCGGCUGAGGGCUGCUAGCUGGUGCUGACACGCCUCCAGCUCAGCCUCCAGCCUCCAGCCUCCAGCUCAAUGGCCAGGGCUCUCCGCCCACCUUGAGGAAGCCGAGCAUCUUCGCUGUACUCCGAGGACCGGUGGGGACUAGAGUCCUCGGAGCUCUUUGGGAUCAGUACCCAAGGAUCACUUUUUUUUUUUUCGUGUUUUACCUUCAUUUUAUUUAAAUGCCUACCACACUUUAGGCACCCUACAAACGUUUGAUAAGCAAAACAAUGAGUUAUGCAACUUCUGCCUACCACCCACCUUGGGACUUAGAAAAGUCAGCUGUGAGUUUAAAGCUGAAUUUUGCGUACAAGCACACACCCCCCCCCCUUUGACUUUUUAAUCAUUUACGAUAUUCAUAUUAAUCAAAUACAUAACUUAGAGACGAUAUCAAACAGCUUCUAAGAUUUUGCACGUUGAUGUUUUAUACUUUUCCUAGUAUUGGAGAAAUGAAACUACCGUUUUGUUAUUUGUAUUUAUCAGUGCUUAGUAACGACCAAACUGUGAUAGAGCCGGAAAUGCAAUCCUUUCCAGUUAAAGGCAGAGGAAUGCAGGCAGUGCAGCGGGAUUCUAGGGAAAGUGAAGGCGGCUGUUUUAGCUUGGAGCUUGUGUGUAAAUCCUGGCUCAGCCAUUUAUUAGCUGUGACAGGCAAAUCACCUGUCGCCUGGACCUUAGGUUCUUUAUGUCAAAUAAGCAGAGUGGGCUUAGUCUUUCAGGCUCCGUUUACUUUUUGUUUGUUUGAGUUUCUUUGUCUUAGGCGUGUUUUAUGGACAGAAUCACACAUCUCCUUCACCUCUCUUCUUUUUUCAGAGAUGGGAUGAAAGGUGGUUGAGACUGAACAAGAAUCAUGGGCACAAAAGUGUUCUGCUAUUUGAGCUGCACUCAGCUCUGAAGUGCCCCCUUGCCAAAUGAACCGUGUAACUGCUGAUAGUCCCACACAGGUGUCACGACUAAUGAAUGCAAAGCUGCAUAGACAAAAAAAAAAAAAAAAAAAAAGUGGAUUUAGUGUUAGGGAAUCAAGCCCUUUCCUCUCGAUG